CCUACGGGAGGCAGCAGUGAGGAAUAUUGGUCAAUGGGCGCGAGCCUGAACCAGCCAAGUAGCGUGAAGGAUGACUGCCCUACGGGUUGUAAACUUCUUUUAUAAAGGAAUAAAGUGAGGCACGUGUGCCUUUUUGUAUGUACGUGAUGAAUAAGGAACGGCUAACUCCGUGCCAGCAGCCGCGGUAAGACGGAGGAUGCGAGCGUUAUCCGGAUUUAUUGGGGUUAAAGGGUGAGCAGGCGGAAUGGCUAGUCAGCGGUUAAAUUUCGGGGCUCAACUCCGUCGUGCCGUUGAAACUGGAGUUCUGUCGUGAGCGAGCAGUAUGCGGAAUGCGUGGUGUAGCGGUGAAAUGCAUAGAUAUCACGCAGAACUCCGAUUGCGAAGGCAGCAUACCGGCGCUCAACUGACGCUCAUGCACGAAAGCGUGGGUAUCGAACAGGAUUAGAUACCCCUGUAGUC
Molecule: ribosomal RNA, 459 nt
Filed under: uncultured bacterium
Lineage: Bacteria
Description: partial 16S ribosomal RNA
Rfam family: Bacterial small subunit ribosomal RNA
Source: RNAcentral